Molecule: long non-coding RNA, 878 nt
Filed under: Citrus x clementina
Lineage: Eukaryota; Viridiplantae; Streptophyta; Magnoliopsida; Sapindales; Rutaceae
Description: Citrus clementina (C. clementina) long non-coding RNA (CCLE_LNC004238)
Source: RNAcentral
GACAUGUAAUAAAAAAAACUGAAAAACAAAUUUACUCUUUUUAUAAAAUACGGUUGAGAUAUUUCCACCACACUAUUUGUGUAAGAGUGGGACUAUUGGCACCCCUCUAAAUAUCUCUUAACGCCCCUUUUCUUAAUUAACCCCAUUAAAAUAUUUUUAAAAAUUAUAAAAUUCUUUUAACACCUCCAUCAAUGACAAAAAUAUCUUUAAUUAAAACAUAUUUGUGUAAAUCUCAUUCUUUAAUUUUUACUAUUAAACCUCAUUUCAACAAUGGGGUUUCUCACCUUUUUUUUUUUAAUUUAAAUUUGGCUCUACAAUAGAUUAUGAUGUAUAUUAUGCAAUUCCCAGGACUUAAUUAGGACUAAUUUGGAGAUGGUGCAAUUGAUUUUCAGGACUUUUAUUGAGUCUGUUCAGCGACUGGAGAUACUAAGGUGCGGUGGGGUUGAAUCGAGACCUUGAAGAUAAUUGGCUUGCUUUGCAAUCCCAGUUAGCUUUGGCUUGCUUACAUGGAUUUUGCAGAAUUACUGAAUUGUGAAUCUGCUUGAAUUAUUUAUGUUCUAAAUAACUUGCUCGUUAAAUUCUUCCUUCUAUAAUAUUUGAAUGUAUUUUUGAAGUGAUUAAACUUUACGCAACUUUCUAAAUAAUUUGCUCGUUAAACUCUGUCUAUGCUUGGGAUGUAUUAUUACAAUCUACAAGACAUCAACAGACUAAGGAGAACAUAUAUAUUUGCAAUUAAAGAUGGAACUAAUCGUUUUUCUUUAAAAAAAAAGAAAGAAAGAAAGAAAGAAUGGAACUAAUCGAUACAAAUGAUUACUAUUACACUAAUGUUUAUAUUUUUAAUGUCUUCUUUGUCAAUACUAAGAGAGAUAUAGCUAGAA